RNAcentral lists this unclassified non-coding RNA (227 nucleotides) under Hevea brasiliensis (rubber tree). Lineage: Eukaryota; Viridiplantae; Streptophyta; Magnoliopsida; Malpighiales; Euphorbiaceae. The record is from RNAcentral.
GUCAGUUCUAAUCCCUUCCUUCUCCUCCUUUGGGCUAACCGAGAAUAGCACAAAACCAACUGCAAACUGACAAAAGUUUACUGUCAAAAGUUUUGUAUUUUCUUAUAUUGUGAUUCAAGGAUAUAUUCAUUUGUUGAUAUUAAUUUGGACAAGUGAAUGGGCUCCGAAAUCUUGACUAGUGAACGCAUAAUAUCUAUUGGGAUUGGCAAAAUGAUUGUGGCUUUCUG